GGGGGGGGGGGGGGGGGGGCCUGGUGCGGGGGGUGAGGGCGCGGGAGGGGGGGCUGGCUUCUCGGGAUGAGUUGCGAACGGUUGGGUGACGCGUAGGUAACCUGCCUGGUAGCGGGGGAUCACUAUUGGCAACGAUCGCUAAUACCGCAUAAGAGUAGAGGUUGCAUGACAUUUCCUUAAAGGGUGCAAUUGCAUCACUACCAUCUGGCCCUGCUUUGUAUUAGCGCGUUGGUUCGUUAACGGCUCACCAAGGCGACGAUACUUAGCCGACCUGAGAGGGUGAUCGGAGACAAUGGGACUGAGACACGGCCCAGAAUCCUACGGGAGGCAGCAGUAGGGAAUCUUCGGCAAUGGACGGAAGUCUGACCGAGCAACGCCGCGUGAGUGAAGAAGGUUUUCGGAUCGUAAAGCUCUGUUGUAAGAGAAGAACGAGUGGGAGAGGGGAAAGUGCACACUGUGACGGUAUCUUACCAGAAAGGGACGGCUAACUACGUG
Molecule: ribosomal RNA, 495 nt
Filed under: uncultured bacterium
Lineage: Bacteria
Description: partial 16S ribosomal RNA
Rfam family: Bacterial small subunit ribosomal RNA
Source: RNAcentral